Molecule: long non-coding RNA, 793 nt
Filed under: Monodelphis domestica (gray short-tailed opossum)
Lineage: Eukaryota; Metazoa; Chordata; Mammalia; Didelphimorphia; Didelphidae
Description: lncRNA (ENSMODG00000049948.1)
Source: RNAcentral
UGGAAUUCCAGCACACUGGCUAUGGCGUCACUGACUUCUCAUUUAGACUGGAAAGAGAAAGGCAGGAAGGAGGAGACAUGGAAAGACUUCCUUGAAGCUGAGCAUUAAGAAACAGGAGACCCACAACUUAAUAUCCUUGGGAAAAAAAUGAAGAGGGAGGAUUCUUACAUUCUGGAAUGUAGGGCUGCGAAGGAGACGGAGCUGCUUCUUCAACCGAAGUGCAAUACUGCCCCCCAGAGGCCGCUAUGGGGAAGUUCUCUUCGGAAAAGCUUUGCAGCAUCUCUAUUUGAGCAGCCGCUCUGCCGGCUCCUGCCUGAAUUUCCUUUAGCUUUAUGCGGAUCCUCGAAAGUGAGAUUCUAUCAUCCUAAGGGUUUAUCGGUUUAAACUGAUCUGUUUUCUGGCUAAGAUGCUAAUCAACAUUCACUAUGUCCUCAAAGGUGAACUAGGUGAUAAAAAGUCCAGGAAUUCCUAGCCCCACUCCCCUCACUCUCCUACUUCCUUCCCGCCCCCCCGCAAAAAAAGCAAGCCGUCUCUCCCGGCUCCCCCAUUAACUCAAUUUAUACAUUAAGCUGCUUCCCCCGGGGGAGCCCAAAAAUCAGGCGUGUUUUGUGUAACCUUUAGUCUCCUGAUUGGAAUUCUCACCGGAAAGGCAUUUACUGAAAAGCCAGGCUGAAGGAAAUCAAUGAGUGGGUCUGACAGACAUUCAACUUCCAGACAAAUGUAUUUGAUUUUAGAUCAUCCUUCAAUCUUUUCCCUGGGAAUAAACCUUCCACCGACACUUCUGAAAAUAACA